AAGAAGGCCCUAGGGUUGUAAAGCACUUUCAAUUGGGAGGAAAACCUGCCGGUCAAUACCCGGUAGCUUGACAUUACCUUUAGAAGAAGCACCGGCUAACUCCGUGC
Molecule: ribosomal RNA, 107 nt
Filed under: uncultured bacterium
Lineage: Bacteria
Description: partial 16S ribosomal RNA
Source: RNAcentral